This 487-nucleotide ribosomal RNA is filed under the name uncultured Desulfobulbus sp. Its description in RNAcentral is "bacterial SSU rRNA". It matches the Rfam family "Bacterial small subunit ribosomal RNA", at positions 901 to 1382 of the family's 1533-position model. Lineage: Bacteria; Pseudomonadati; Thermodesulfobacteriota; Desulfobulbia; Desulfobulbales; Desulfobulbaceae. The record is from RNAcentral.
UUAAAGGAAGUUAGACGGGGCCCGGCGACAAGCGGUGGAGUAUGUGGUUUAAUUCGAUGCAACGCGAAGAACCUACCUGGUCUUGACAUCCCGGAGACCCUUAGGAACUAGGGGUGGCUCCAUCUGGAAGAAUCUGGAGACAGGUGCUGCAUGGCUGUCGUCAGCUCGUGUCGUGAGAUGUUGGGUUAAGUCCCGCAACGAGCGCAACCCUUGCCUUUAGUUGCCAGCAGUUCGGCUGGGCACUCUAAAGGGACUGCCGGUGUUAAACCGGAGGAAGGUGGGGAUGACGUCAAGUCCUCAUGGCCUUUAUGACCAGGGCUACACACGUACUACAAUGGCCGAUACAAAGGGCAGCGACACUGCGAGGUGAAGCCAAUCCCGUAAAAUCGGUCUCAGUCCGGAUUGGAGUCUGCAACUCGACUCCAUGAAGUUGGAAUCGCUAGUAAUCGUGGAUCAGCAUGCCACGGUGAAUACGUUCCCGGGCCUU